GCCGGUGUAGCUCAGUUGGUAGAGCAACUGAUUCGUAAUCAGUAGGUCAUCGGUUCGACUCCGGUCACCGGCACCA
RNAcentral lists this transfer RNA (76 nucleotides) under Candidatus Muproteobacteria bacterium RIFCSPHIGHO2_01_60_12. RNAcentral describes it as "tRNA-Thr". It matches the Rfam family "tRNA". From Rfam's summary of the family: Transfer RNA (tRNA) molecules are approximately 80 nucleotides in length. Their secondary structure includes four short double-helical elements and three loops (D, anti-codon, and T loops). RNAcentral also lists the same sequence under 11 other names. The record is from RNAcentral. Lineage: Bacteria; Pseudomonadati; Pseudomonadota; Candidatus Muproteobacteria.